Molecule: unclassified non-coding RNA, 436 nt
Filed under: Hevea brasiliensis (rubber tree)
Lineage: Eukaryota; Viridiplantae; Streptophyta; Magnoliopsida; Malpighiales; Euphorbiaceae
Source: RNAcentral
AUCAUGUUCCCUUUGGUUCUUUUUCUUGAAAAGUUUUCAAAUGCCUCAGAUCUUGGAGUUGGCUGUGAGCUUGGAGCUUACUUAUAUUGCCUUUCACCCUGACUAUUGGAAAAACCAUGCAAACCCUUAGCUUGUUUCCUUUUCCUGACUCUCCUUUAUCCAGGUGUUUCACCUAUCCAGUAGCAGUGCAACCCCUUACAAUGUGUCCUUCUUUUCCACAAUUACCACAAGUCAUUUUAGUCCCUGCCCUCGAAACCCUGAAUGGAUUUCUUACUUCAUCAAGCUAUCUAAUUCUCUUCUUUCUGGGUUUUCCUACUGUUUUCCUUACAAUUGGAGGAUAUAUGUCAUUCAAUUUUGUUCUUUCCCAUUCCUCUUUACUUGGCACAGGAUAUUUGACAUGUUUGUAAACUGCCAAGCAAAUAUACUUAAGAUAAUA